CCCAGCCGAUCGAAAGUGGAGAGCGGCUGGCUUUUCUGGAACAUACCCUAGCGGAAAUUGCCGAUGGUGACCUUGAAUCUCUUAAGAACAUACAUGUUUUGACGAUGAUCAUAGGUCCCUUUAAGAACUCUUCCGCUUCUUUUGAUGUUAUCAAGUACACUGCAUCUCUACUCUUCCUACCUUUUGUUAUUGAUGACGUUUCAACUAAAGAUAGGGACCUCAUCCGACAGGUUUAUAAUGAGGCUGAGUUGGUGCCAAAUCUAGUCUACUCAACCAAGCUGCUUCUAUGGAAAUUAAACGAAUUACCAGCCGAGCAUCUACAGACGUUAGAAGUGGUUCUCCUCCUGAUCACGAAUCUCGUUUACAACAGCGAUGACUCUUUAAAUCAAUUCAUUGAUUCUGCAAUGCAGCUGAAAAUGACACCGUCAUACAGUCUAUUCUCUCCCUACGCAAACAAAACCUGAAGAUUGUAUCAGACCUACUCUCCAUUUUGUGCCAAAUUUUAAGGAAGAAACCGCAAUUCGCCAGUUCGUUAGUGAUUUGGUUCUUGGGGAUGGUCAGAAAGGUAAUGUUUUUAAUGAUUGAGUCCAGUGUUCGAAACUCACUCUAGAGUUUCAGGAGCCACAUGGCGGAUCAAGCUUAAUUUUUAGGGGCCAGAUUUACUCUUUGUCUAUAUAUUAAGGCGCAUUUGGUGAGAAGUUAGACGCAAGAUGUUUUAGUUACAAAACUAGCAACUGUAACUUGGGGGAAAUUUCGAAAAAUCUCCAAACAGAAAAAUGAGGAUUUUUUUUGGGAGGGUUGGGGGAGAGGCAAUUUUUAGGGGCCACGUUGGUGCAGAGCCCUCAUUUUUUAGGCGCCAUGACCGACUUCUUAGGCGCAUUUGGCGCGUUGGUGCCUGUGAGUUUUGAGCGCUGAUUGAGUCAUAUUGAUAACUAAACUCCGAAAUUUUUUAUUGUGGAAGUCAAGAUUUUUCAGAGGAUUUGGAAUACCUUAAAAUCUUCCUCUUUUGGUCAUGCACAGAAGUGUCAGAAAUUUUGGGUUUAUAGUUAUUCCAAAUUAAAGUUGGGUCACCAAUUUGCAUAAUCCGAGCUGCAUAUUAAAGAUUUUAUGUUAUAUUUGUGACCGAAUCUGUGAAAAAUGACCUUAUCUUUAGGGAGAAAACUACCCCUAUUUUUUUGCAAAAACUUGACCACACUUUUCUACAAACUAAGAACUUUUUUUGGAACUUCAGGGCUCAAAUCACCCUCAGUUUUUGAGUUUUCAGGGUCAAACCUGAGCAAAAAUUUCCAGAUUAUCUUACUGAAUGCAUUUGAAAAAAGUUAUGGAUGAUUUUCUCACCGAAGAUAAGGUUCUGUUUCACAGAUCCAAGCAUAUUUUUACAAGGAUGACUUUGCCAAGAAGGCUGAACGAAUUUCAGCCUUUUCAAUAAAUUCCUUGGUGACAUGGCAUCUCUUUGUGUAUAUGGACUCUGUAAAACAUUUUCCCCUGUCUUUCUGAAGUUUUCAGUGCAUGUAUUUCAGUAUAGUGUAUUUGCAUUUUAUUUUAUGGAUUUUGUGUCAUUUCAGAUUCUGUGAUGCCUGUUGAUAUUCAUAGUAUACUAAUCAGUUCAGACGAUUGUUUAAGAGAGAGAGGUACUACUUUACUGCAUCUGAUGGCUCAGGUUUGUCCAGACUCUUUGAACGCUGUUUGGAAUGAAACUCUUCGAUGUGACAUCGAAGCUCUGGACUAUGAUUCUUGUGUUGCCGUUAGAAAUGUAAGUUUAGCAUUCUUCUCUUAUAGCUAAAACUCGUUGAUUUAGUGUCAAUACGACACACCCGUGUCUCUCAUUUGAUAUGGGUCAAAUUCAAACGUUAUCAUCUUGUUCAAAAGUUGCGCUUUGUUGUUGAUAAAACCUAGGGGAUCAUAAAUGAAUUCUAUCUAGCAGAAGGGAACCGAGGGGAUUACAGUGUUAUAAUAAUAAUCGUUCAUCUUCAUCUCAAUCUAGAAAUAAGUGUAGGACAGAAAAUAGUUUUUGGUUUUCUAAAACAAAAUUGUUAAUUCUACAGGAAAUUGAUCAUUUAAAUUUUAUUACCGUACAAAUGUCCAGUAUUUUUUAAAGGAAAAAAGAAGUUGUACAAUUUAGAAAAAACUUUGUUGCACUGCCGCUAAAUGCAAUCCAAAUCAAAUAACUUUUAAUCUUUUAUUUUAUGCUGUCCUCACACACCCAGUAAGGUUCCAGAAUGUUGGGUUGUGCAACCCCCCUCUCCUAUUAGGGUUGUCUUGAGAAAUGAAAUGACAAGAAAUUACUUACUUCAUCAUCGAUAAGAAAUGAUGAAUAUCUGCAGUAGAAAUAUCUUAAGAUUCUUAGUUCUUUUGUCAAAAAUUUCAUAAACUUCUUCAAGAAAUUUGCUGCUAAACCCUCCUUCUCCCCAGUAUUGCGUAUCAUAUGGAAGGCCGCUUUCCAGGAGUAUUUUCAAAAAGAAAGCAAGCAGCUUUAAUCCACUUCUCCCAUCUUAAAAUCUCGGUAGACGAUAUCUUGGAUUGUUUUUGGUGAUAAGAAGUUGUUGUCCAGUUUUUGUUUUAUCCAUUCGUAUUUUUUUUCUUUUAUUACAGGCUGCCUCAAGUGCAUUAGUUUCUUUGAAAAAGAUGCCGAACUAUCGUUUAGAUCAUCCUUGAAGGUAUUUAUUGCUAAGAUAAGGAAUUUUUGGAUCUCUAACUGAUAAGUGUAUCUCUCCAUGUAUUCAGUAUUUUCUGAAAAAUAUACAUGCCUUACAAGUUGCAAGGCUGUGUGAUAAUGAUGAUCUCCGCAAGAAGAUAAUAUAAAAGAUCAAUAAGUAUGAACAAUUUUUGUGCAUUUCCAGGUUGCAAAAAUAUUGCAAUAUUUCUUUCCAAAAGGCGUUUUAGUUGCAAUGAAGUAGUAUUAAGGAAAUCACCUGUAUUAUUCAAUGAAGAAAGUAUUAAUUCUGACGUAAAUUUUUGUGACUAAUCGUGACAAUAUCCUUAUAAAGAAAAAAAAAACUGUAUGACAAUCAAAAAGUAUUACUUUUAAGUCCUUAGAUAUCCUUUUUAAUUUUUUAAACGGUGCCAUGCCUUUAUCAUCGCGUUUUCAACUGAAAACUAGUGUCCUUUAGAAAAGCAAUGAGCAAUGUUUGUGCUCUGCUAAGUUAAACCCUACAAAAUCUGAAACUUUUUCACUCUAAACUUAUGUAAAAAUCUGUGAUCAAAAUGAGAAAUUCACGACUGUAUUUAUAGUUGUUUCUUAAUUAUCCUUACAUUUGUGAAUAAAGGAGGCGUAGUAAUAAGCAGGGGUUCAGUAUUGAACUUACUGACCACAUAACCAGCCUGGCCAAGUCUCUGAAACCACCCUCCGCAACCAUGUAAAUCAUGUGUGGAUCCUCCAGCCUCCCUACGGAAGGGAUCUGCUUGAGGAACGACCAUACGUCGGAUGAAUUUGACUAGAAUCAGCCUACCUAUAUUUUACAGUGCCUAAUUUCAACUCAAUUUUUUUCAGCAGAAAAGCAAACAAAUAUACCCCCUCUAAUGAUAGGUAUAUAAUGAAAAUUUCCUCUGGAUUUUUAAGAAUAUACCUACUCACUAAUUUUCGAGUCAGAAUUUUGAUUGGUUUUCAGUCUAAAAAAUUAAACGUGAGAGAAAAUUAGACCUGGUCUGGUGUAGUUAGAUUGAUUUUGUGUAAUCAAAUCUGUCCAGCAAGUAUGACUUACAGUAAAAAUUACAUUUAAGUGAUUGAGAGAAAAAUAAUCUUCGCCUCAAGUUUAAAAUAUGUUAUUUUUAGUGAUGUUUUGUAUUUUUCGCUGUGAGUAAAAAUUGGUGCCAAUUUUUUCCAAUUUUAUAUUGUUGUCCCUUUUUCUGAUAGAAAUAAAGGUGAUGAAUGAAUGAAACAUAUUUCUUCUUUGAUUGUGAUGAAAUCCCUGACAGCUAUUUUUGCUUUAUUUGUUUAUCACCCAGACUUC
RNAcentral lists this long non-coding RNA (3950 nucleotides) under Bemisia tabaci. RNAcentral's name for it is "lncRNA ENSSSA3NGG013202". The record is from RNAcentral. Lineage: Eukaryota; Metazoa; Arthropoda; Insecta; Hemiptera; Aleyrodidae.